GGGCUCUCCGGACAGAGGAGGAUGAAAAGGGAACCAGGUGCAAGACCUGGGCAGACCCGCUGCCGUAAGCUCCACAGAGGACUCCCCUCACACUCUACUCGCCACUGUUGCCCUACAGGCAACGGGAAGGAUGCGAGGGGAGGGAGCAAGCCGGAAGACCUGCCAUAGUCUUUA
RNAcentral lists this non-coding RNA (174 nucleotides) under uncultured Porphyromonas sp. Lineage: Bacteria; Pseudomonadati; Bacteroidota; Bacteroidia; Bacteroidales; Porphyromonadaceae. The record is from RNAcentral.